GCCUGAGCCACAUGAGGAGACAGGAAAGUUACUCUAACUAUGGGCUAGUAACUAGUUAGUCUAUUACUGACUGUUUAGUGAUGGUUUACAUCGAUUCAGCGGGGAUUAUCCCACCAAAAUAUCUCUAGUUAUCUCCAAACAACCACCACGUCGCUGCAUAAUAACAGACAGAGGUCUGACUAGUUAGCUAGCCACCGUUACUUACAAUAAGAAGCUCAUUUCCGUUAACUUUGCUUCGAGCGAAGCUUCCAGACAGCGUGAAGUCGAGGAUUCCCAACAGAAAUUCUUCACCCAAGUCUUGUUUAAGGAUCAAACCGAUGUAAACAACGUAGUCCCAAAGUUUCAAAACUUUAAUCUAAGCGAACAUGAAACCGCGCUGGAACAGGAAGUGUUUACAACCGCCGCAGAGAAAAAGGAAACAGCAAAGACGACAGAGUCCGAUGUUGUUGCCAAAAUCGCACAGUAUGAGCUGCUAGUGCGAGUGCAGUUAGAGCUGUUAGUGGCGAGUGCAGUUAGAGCUGCGAGUGCAGUUAGAGCUGUUCGUGCGAGUGCAGUUAGAGCUGCUAGUGCGAGUGCAGUUAGACCUGUGUGAGUGCAGUUAGAGCUGUUCGUGCGAGUGCAGUUAGAGCUG
Long non-coding RNA from Ictalurus punctatus (channel catfish), 631 nucleotides. NCBI's taxonomy places the organism in Eukaryota, Metazoa, Chordata, Actinopteri, Siluriformes, Ictaluridae. The record is from Ensembl.